RNAcentral lists this transfer RNA (88 nucleotides) under Oscillospiraceae bacterium. RNAcentral describes it as "tRNA-Leu". It matches the Rfam family "tRNA". From Rfam's summary of the family: Transfer RNA (tRNA) molecules are approximately 80 nucleotides in length. Their secondary structure includes four short double-helical elements and three loops (D, anti-codon, and T loops). Lineage: Bacteria; Bacillati; Bacillota; Clostridia; Eubacteriales; Oscillospiraceae. The record is from RNAcentral.
GCGCGAGUGGUGGAAUUGGUAGACUCGCAAGAUUCAGGUUCUUGUGUGCAAUACGCACGUGGGGGUUCAAGUCCCCCCUCGCGCACCA